AUUGAACGCUGGCGGCAUGCUUUACACAUGCAAGUCGAACGGUAACAGGCCGCAAGGUGCUGACGAGUGGCGAACGGGUGAGUAAUGCAUCGGAACGUGCCCAGUCGUGGGGGAUAACUACUCGAAAGAGUAGCUAAUACCGCAUACGAUCUAUGGAUGAAAGCGGGGGACCGUAAUGCCUCGCGCGAUUGGAGCGGCCGAUGUCAGAUUAGGUAGUUGGUGGGGUAAAGGCUCACCAAGCCAACGAUCUGUAGCUGGUCUGAGAGGACAACCAGCCACACUGGGACUGAGACACGGCCCAGACUCCUACGGGAGGCAGCAGUGGGGAAUUUUGGACAAUGGGCGCAAGCCCGAUCCAGCAAUGCCGCGUGCAGGAAGAAGGCCUUCGGGUUGUAAACUGCUUUUGUACGGAACGAAACGGCUCUGGUUAAUACCCGGGGCUAAUGACGGUACCGUAAGAAUAAGCACCGGCUAACUACGUG
RNAcentral lists this ribosomal RNA (482 nucleotides) under uncultured bacterium. Its description in RNAcentral is "partial 16S ribosomal RNA". It matches the Rfam family "Bacterial small subunit ribosomal RNA", at positions 30 to 507 of the family's 1533-position model. The record is from RNAcentral.